Molecule: long non-coding RNA, 1197 nt
Organism: Cyprinus carpio carpio
Lineage: Eukaryota; Metazoa; Chordata; Actinopteri; Cypriniformes; Cyprinidae
Source: Ensembl
GUGAUUUGGAGAAUGGAUGGAUAAAGGCUCGUCCUGACAGCCAGCUAUGAUGGCACAGGUAUUUCUGAUUAAAAUAAAUUAUACAUUUUGUUAAAAAAAUCUGUUGUUAGAUUAAUGUGUUGUUAUAUAAGUAGGUCUAAAAUUCUACAUAUGGCACAAGUAAUUGUAUUUUUAUAAAAGCAGUCAGUUACUGCAAAGGGAGUAUUGUAAUGGGGUAAAUAAAAGGUCUUCAAAUUAACAUUUACUAUGUGCUAUGGUUUUUAUUUAUUACAUUUUUUUUAACUUCUGCCUUAAAAAACACGUUUUUUGGGUUAAGAAUGUAAUAUGUAGUAUAGGUUAGAAUAUAACCCUUCAUGUAGCCUGUAGCCUAUAGCCGUCUACACAGAUACAUUCACUAUAUUUGUUUUCAUAGCCUUCCAUUUGCACAUUGUCUGACCUGAGACGUGUGUGUGUGUGUGUGUGUACUCCAGGUUUGCCAGAAUUGUCUCACCUGCAGGUUCAGCACAUGAUUUCUGAAAAAGCUUGUGGUAUAAUCUGUAGUGAAAUAUAAUAAAAAUCAUGAUUCAAUAUUCAUAUAUAAUAUUUAUAAAAUUAUUGCUGUGUAUGCUCUUUUGAGUCAUCCGCGACACAAGGAUAGCAUACACAGCAUACGGUGAUAUGGAGUGACACAGAGGAGACCGUUGACAAAGGAAUUAUUGAAUAAAGUCAUUAUUUUUGUUUUCUUUGCUUACAAAAAGUGUUCCCAUUGCUUCAUAUAACCCAGAUUGCACGUCUGAUGGCAGAUGGAGUAUUCUGACGACGACUUUCAUCCCUUUUAUGGACCUUGACACUGCUAUUUACUUGGCAGUCUAUGGGACACUCACAGGCCUCCCGGUUUUCAUCCAAAAUAUCUUAAAUUGUGUUCCGAAGACAAACAGAGCUUUUACAGGUUUGGAACGACAUGGGGGUAAGUGAUUAAUGACAAAAUUUUCAUUUUGGGGUGGAGUAUCCCUUUAACACACUAUCUACAAUUAGGAGUGUCAAUGGUCCACUUGAGAGAUAGGUGGCGCUAAUGCACUUAUAAGUCUUCAAUCCGCCAUAAAGCAACAAGAACAAGAUGAUGCCUCACAUGCAGGCUGCUGUAAAGUGGGUUCAUAAGAGUUCUAACAGUUUGGACAUUGCGUGAAUCAGAGGUAAAAAAAAAACCCGAUAUAAAUA